AGAGUUUGAUCCUGGCUCAGGACGAACGCUGGCGGCGUGCUUAACACAUGCAAGUCGUGGGGGGGUAGCAAUACCUCACCGGCGAACGGGUGCGUAACACGUGAGCAACCUACCGAGUUCUGGGGGAUAGCCGGCCCAACGGCCGGGUAAUACCGCAUACGCUUCUCGCGGGGAGUCUCGUGAGAAGGAAACCUCCGGGGGAAUUCGAGGGGCUCGCGGCCUAUCAGCUAGUUGGCGGGGUAAUGGCCCACCAAGGCGAUGACGGGUAGCUGGUCUGAGAGGAUGGCCAGCCACAUUGGGACUGAGAGACGGCCCAGACUCCUACGGGAGGCAGCAGUGGGGAAUCUUGCGCAAUGGUCGAAAGACUGACGCAGCGACGCCGCGUGCGGGAGGAAGCUCUUCGGGGUGUAAACCGCUGUUGCCCGGAACGAAACGCCUUUUUCGAGAGGCUUGACGGUACCGGGUGAGGAAGCGCCGGCUAACUCUGUGCCAGCAGCCGCGGUAAUACAGAGGGCGCGAGCGUUGUCCGGAAUCACUGGGCGUAAAGGGCGCGUAGGUGGCGGCAUAAGGCUGUGGUGAAAGUCUGGGGCUCAACUCCAGAUCGGCCGCGGCGACUGUGUCGCUUGGGCACCGUAGAGGCAGAUGGAAUUCCGGGUGUAGCGGUGGAAUGCGUAGAGAUCCGGAAGAACACCAGUGGCGAAGGCGGUCUGCUGGGCGGUGAGCUCGCGAGAGCUCAAUAGCCGACACUGAGGCGCGACAGCGUGGGGAGCAAACAGGAUUAGAUACCCUGGUAGUCCACGCCGUAAACGAUGGGCACUAGGUGCUCCGGGGAGCGACCCUUGGAGUACCGGCGCUAACGCAUGAAGUGCCCCGCCU
This 876-nucleotide ribosomal RNA is filed under the name uncultured bacterium. RNAcentral's name for it is "bacterial SSU rRNA". It matches the Rfam family "Bacterial small subunit ribosomal RNA", at positions 9 to 873 of the family's 1533-position model. The record is from RNAcentral.